This 250-nucleotide ribosomal RNA is filed under the name uncultured bacterium. Its description in RNAcentral is "partial 16S ribosomal RNA". It matches the Rfam family "Bacterial small subunit ribosomal RNA", at positions 524 to 773 of the family's 1533-position model. The record is from RNAcentral.
UACAGAGGUCCCAAGCGUUGUUCGGAUUCACUGGGCGUAAAGGGUGCGUAGGUGGUUGGGUAAGUCUGAUGUGAAAUCUCUGAGCUCAACUCAGAAACUGCAUUGGAUACUAUCCAGCUAGAGGAGUGGAGGGGGGACUGGAAUACUUGGUGUAGCAGUGAAAUGCGUAGAUAUCAAGUGGAACACCAGUGGCGAAGGCGAGUCCCUGGACACUUCCUGACACUGAGGCACGAAAGCUAGGGGAGCAAAC